GGACCCGCACAAGCGGUGGAGCAUGUGGUUUAAUUCGAUGCAACGCGAAAAACCUUACCUACUCUUGACAUACUUGGAAGCUCUUGUAAUGAGAGUGUGCCUUUUGGAACCAAGAUACAGGUGCUGCAUGGCUGUCGUCAGCUCGUGUCGUGAGAUGUUCCGUUAAGUCGGAUAACGAGCGCAACCCUUACCCUUAUUUGCCAGCGAUUCGGUCGGGAACUAUAAGGGGACUGCCGGUGAUAAACCGGAGGAAGGUGAGGACGACGUCAAGUCAUCAUGGCCCUUACGAGUAGGGCUACACACGUGCUACAAUGGCAGUGACAGAGGGACGCUACCAGGUGACUGGAUGCA
RNAcentral lists this ribosomal RNA (351 nucleotides) under uncultured bacterium. Its description in RNAcentral is "bacterial SSU rRNA". It matches the Rfam family "Bacterial small subunit ribosomal RNA", at positions 917 to 1269 of the family's 1533-position model. The record is from RNAcentral.